GAGUUUGAUCUUGGCUCAGAACAAACGCUGGCGGCGUGCCUAAUACAUGCAAGUCGAACGAGGAAUUACCUUCGGGUAUAGUACUAGUGGCGCACGGGAGAGGAACACGUAGGUAAUCUGCCCUAGGGCGGGGAACAACCAGUCGAAAGAUUGGCUAAUACCCCGUAAGACCACACUAACUAAUGUUAAUGUGGUAAAAGAUUUAUCACCCUAGGAUGAGCCUGCGCCCCAUUAGCUUGAUGGUAGGGUAACGGCCUACCAUGGCUACGAUGGGUAACUGGUCUGAGAGGAUGAUCAGUCUCACUGGAACUGAGACACGGUCCAGACUCCUACGGGAGGCAGCAGUGAGGAAUUUUGCGCAAUGGGCGAAAGCCUGAUGCAGCGACGCCGCGUGAGUGAUGAAGGUCUUAGGAUUGUAAAGCUCUGUUCUCAAGGAAUAAAAAAAUGAAGGUGCUUGAGAAGAAAGGACCGGCUAACUUCGUGCCAGCAGCCGCGGUAAUACGGGGGGUGCAAGCGUUAUUCGGAAUCAUUGGGCGUAAAGCGGGUGUAGGUGGUCACAUCAGUCAGAAGUGAAAGCCCAGGGCUCAACCUUGGAAGUGCUUUUGAUACUGUAUGACUUGAGUGUAAGAGAGGUUGCUAGAAUUCCUGGUGUAGUGGUGAAAUACGUAGAGAUCAGGAGGAAUAUCGGUGGCGAAGGCGACUUUCUGGCUGAAUACUGACGCUGAGGCGCGAAAGCGUGGGGAGUAAACAGGAUUAGAUACCCUGGUAGUCCACGCUGUAAACGAUGAUCACUUGGUGUUGGAGGUAUUGACCCCUUCAGUGCCGUAGCUAACGCGUUAAGUGAUCCGCCUGGGAAGUACGGUCGCAAGAUUAAAACUCAAAGAAAUUGACGGUGGCCCGCACAAGCGGUGGAGUAUGUGGUUUAAUUCGAUGCAACGCGAAGAACCUUACCUGGUCUUGACAUCCCGAAAAAGCCCUAGAAAUAGGGAAGUGCUCUCUUUGAGAGAAUUUGGUGACAGGUGCUGCAUGUCAGCUCGUGCCGUGAGGUGUCGGGUUAAGUCCCAUAACGAGCGCAACCCCUAUUGUUAGUUGUCAGCAUUAAGUUGGGCACUCUAAUGGGACUGCCGGUGUCAAACCGGAGGAAGGCGGGGAUGACGUCAAGUCCUCAUGGCCUUUAUGACCAGGGCUACACACGUACUACAAUGGCCGGUACAACGGGCAGCCACUUCGCGAGAAGGAGCAAAUCCCUAAAAGCCGGUCUCAGUCCGGAUUGGAGUCUGCAACUCGACUCCAUGAAGUUGGAAUCGCUAGUAAUCGUGGAUCAGCAUGCCGCGGUGAAUAUGUUCCCGGGCCUUGUACACACCGCCCGUCACACCACGGGAGUUGGUUGUACCAGAAGCGGUUGAGAUAACCUUCGGGAGGCAGGCAGAAAAUAAAUUCGAUGAUUGGGGUGAAGUCGUAACAAGGUAGCCGUA
RNAcentral lists this ribosomal RNA (1475 nucleotides) under uncultured prokaryote. Its description in RNAcentral is "partial 16S ribosomal RNA". It matches the Rfam family "Bacterial small subunit ribosomal RNA". The record is from RNAcentral.